GGGGGGAGGUCGGAUCCUGGGCUGUGUCCCCGGCGCCCUGUGCUCCCGGGCUUGCGCUGUUGGCUACCCGCUCCCAGCCACGCAGCCCCCU
This 91-nucleotide microRNA precursor is filed under the name Canis lupus familiaris (dog). RNAcentral describes it as "mir-8799 microRNA precursor family". It matches the Rfam family "mir-8799 microRNA precursor family". RNAcentral also lists the same sequence under 1 other name. The record is from Rfam by way of RNAcentral. Lineage: Eukaryota; Metazoa; Chordata; Mammalia; Carnivora; Canidae.